RNAcentral lists this ribosomal RNA (319 nucleotides) under Alcaligenes faecalis. Its description in RNAcentral is "bacterial SSU rRNA". It matches the Rfam family "Bacterial small subunit ribosomal RNA", at positions 54 to 370 of the family's 1533-position model. The record is from RNAcentral. Lineage: Bacteria; Pseudomonadati; Pseudomonadota; Betaproteobacteria; Burkholderiales; Alcaligenaceae.
CAUGCAAGUCGACGGCAGCGCGAGAGAGCUUGCUCUCUUGGCGGCGAGUGGCGGACGGGAGAGUAAUAUAUCGGAACGUGCCCAGUAGCGGGGGAUAACUACUCGAAAGAGUGGCUAAUACCGCAUACGCCCUACGGGGGAAAGGGGGGGAUCGCAAGACCUCUCACUAUUGGAGCGGCCGAUAUCGGAUUAGCUAGUUGGUGGGGUAAAGGCUCACCAAGGCAACGAUCCGUAGCUGGUUUGAGAGGACGACCAGCCACACUGGGACUGAGACACGGCCCAGACUCCUACGGGAGGUACAGCUGCGGAAUUUUGGACA